AAACGACAUCGAAAGCUUGCUUUUGAUGGGCGUCGACCGGCGCACGGGUGAGUAACGCGUAUCCAACCUGCCCACCACUUGGGGAUAACCUUGCGAAAGUAAGACUAAUACCCAAUGAUAUCCCACGAAGGCAUCGGAAUGGGAUUAAAGAUUUAUCGGUGAUGGAUGGGGAUGCGUCUGAUUAGCUUGUUGGCGGGGUAACGGCCCACCAAGGCGACGAUCAGUAGGGGUUCUGAGAGGAUGAACGGCCACAUUGGAACUGAGACACGGUCCAAACUCC
RNAcentral lists this ribosomal RNA (280 nucleotides) under uncultured bacterium. RNAcentral's name for it is "partial 16S ribosomal RNA". It matches the Rfam family "Bacterial small subunit ribosomal RNA", at positions 64 to 339 of the family's 1533-position model. The record is from RNAcentral.